CACAACACACACAAAGCACACACACACAAAGCACAGCAGGUGCAACACUAGCUGCAAGCACAAGAAGUAGGCAGCAAUGGCGAGGCAUCGCCUCCUCGCCGUGCUCCUCAUCGGAAUAGUUGCAGCCUCCGCCUUCAACCAAGCAGCUGCGGCUGGCCGAGGCCUUGCUGCCGUCGAGAAGUUUGCAGAGCUAGAGCCAAAGCCAGAACCCAAACCAGAGCCAAUGGCCAAACCUAUGCCGCCGCACCCAGAGCCAGAGCCUUGCAAACCUGAACCGAUGCCCAAACCCAAACCAAAGCCCGAACCAAAACCCGGACAGAAGCCCGAUCCAGAACCCAAGCCCAAGCCUAUGCCAAAACCAAAGCACAAGCAUUGCUCCAAACCAAAGCCAGGUCCUAAGCCCGAGCCAAUGCCGAAACCCGAACCAAAGCCGGAGCCCGAGCCUAAACCUGAAUCAAAACCGAAGCCUCCUCCUAAGUGCAAGCCACCGACAGCUCACAAUUGAUGGGAUACUUAUAUAUGACAGUUGAUGGAGGAGACCCCAUACGGAGCCACACUAUGCUAUUUCUAGAAUAAGUGGUGUAGUAUUUCUUGUAUUCCAUCUAUUUCUAUUGUUCCAUGCAUGUGUGAUGAGUAUUAGUACUCUGUAAUUUCUUUUUUGCUUGUUGGUAUAUGUUCAUCUACUUUGUAUGUGACUCGACUCGUUGUUCUUUUGAGUAUCUACGCAUGAUUGUAUUCAUUCACAUGAAUGAACUAUUUUGUCAGUGAACUGCAGUCUAUGUUGUCUUCUCUAUGGUGUGCAGUCUCAGUUAUUUUCUCUAUGGGAUUGUUUUUCAUAUUAUGUGGUCUUUUUGGGGGGGAAAGAUGAUGUCAACAAAAAGGAAGAGAAGGAUUCCCCAAAUAGCAGCACAUAUAUCACAUAUGAAGUGUAUAGUGUGCGUGUGCGUGUCUAGUGUUCUAGAUGUAUAAAGUGUACUCACACGCCAAACAGCGGCCUUUGUUCUCUACCCUUCACCUAUGAACUAAGUCCCGACCGAGUGCAUUAGUAUUUAUGCCCAGGCUCCGUGAGUGAGCUGGCUCUGCUGCUGGUUAUACUAGGUAAACGUCACACACAUUGCUACGGAAAUUUAUAGCAAUGAAAUUAUGAAAAAUAGCAUCUAUGGGAAUAAUACCACACAACAUUCGCACAUAUGACGAUAGAAAACCUAGAUGUAACUGGAGGUGGAUGCAUGUUAUAUUGUCUUGUGACCUUCAAGUUUAAUUAUUUUUUGCUGAAAUAUAAAUAGUAAAUAUAAUGUGGCGAAGAGCUUUCAUGUCUUUUGAUGAUGUGGAGGACUUGCAUAUGAUGGAAAGUGAAAAUUUGAGUGAUUACAUGCACGCUUGAUGAUAUGGAGGACUUACGUGUGUUGAAAAGUGGUUAGUGAAAGUUGAUUGGUUGCAUGCCCUUCAUAAUGUGAUUGACAUGCAUGUGCAAUUAAAUGGGAUGAAUUACUUAGAUAUAUAGCAUAUGUGUGAAAGGUAGCUACACCCCCUAGGUCAAGAUUGCCAAUAAAAGGCACCAUGAAAAUUAUUAUUAACACAUUUUCUCUUACUCAAUUCGCAACAAGAAAAAUCUCAUAGUGAUGGUGCUAGGCAACAUACGAGAGACCAUAAUAAUCUCUCACCGCCCCAUGGUACUGGCAGGGCCUGCCCUAUGAUUUUGAAAGCCCUUGGGUGAAGUUGGCGAAUUGAUUGUCUUUCGUUUCAGCACCCGACAAAUCCUUUUUAAGCAACAUUAGAGUAACCCUAAAACUGAAGAGGAAAGUAAAUACAUAAAAUAGAAUUUUAGAUAUUAGAGCCCUAACAUUUAACAUGCUUCAACGAAUGGGUGGCACUAGUAAUAUGGUUAUGGGUGUGUGGAAUGAGAGGCCUGGAGAAUGACAUGCUGGUGCCUCGGUGUCAUAGACAUCUGAGGAGGCGGCGAGACUCACGUCGUCAAGCUUACCCGUGAAGACGAAGAUUGCGAAUUGCAAUUAGGAGAACUGGUGAUGCCAUAAGAAAAUGUUCAUCACGCAUUUGUAAAAUGUUUUCAAAAUAUCAAACAUUUUGCAAAUACACAUAGAACUAAAAAGUGUUCAUAUUUUUCCAAAAAUACAGUGUGAACAUUUUGAACAAUACAGAAUGAAGAUUUCUUUUAAUACAUGAUGAACCAUUGAAAUAACAAUAUUUUCUGAAAAUACAAAAUGAUUUUUUUAAAUCCAUGAUAAUUUUUAACUACACAGUAAAUAUUUUGUUCACGCACGAUGAACAUUUUGUAGAAACAUGAGUGAACAAUGUCUGACGCCGGUGAGGGAGGGGCGAUGAUGGUGGUGCACUUUCGGCUUGAUCGAGUGAUUUUAGACAUCGCUGGGUGGUCUAUGGACCUGUAUGUAUAUUCUAUUUCUUCUGGUAAUCUUAUACUGACAUGUCAGUUCAUAAAUAGAUCCGAAUUUUUUUCGUAAAAAAAUAAGAAAAAUGUUCAACUUGUCUUAGUAAUUGUUCCUGAGAUUUAAAAAAAAAUAUUCGCAUUGUUUCAAAAAAACAUUACAUUUCAAUUUUUUCACAUGUUUAGAAAAUUGUUCAUGGCAAUAUUAAAAACGUUCAGGAAAUAUAAAAAAAAGUUGUAUUACAGUUUAUAAUAAUGUUCGUGGUAUAUAAAAAUUGUUCAUGAUGUUUAGAAAACGUCCAAACAUGUAUUGGAAAAAUAUUCUAUGUGUAAUUAAAAAAUGUUUAAUAUUUUGAAAACAAUCAACAUGUAUUUGAAAUAUGCAAAAUGAAAAAAAACUUGAAAGAAAAUGAACAGAAAAGUAAAAGGGAAAAAAUGAAAAUGAAAACCUAAACAAACCUGAUAAAGAAAACAGAUAAAACAAUCCAAAUAAAACAUUCUGAAAAUCGCAUGAAACAAACCAAUGCUACACCGCCUCCACUGCUACUGGGCCAGAGCCCGCACCGCAUCGCCAAAGGUGAGCGCCUCGCAGUACCUAGAGACAUAGCAUUUGCGCAAAAUGACCGCACUACGUAGAGACAUAGCAUUUGCGCAAAAUGACCGCACGCAUUGAACCAACUGUUGGCUGGCUAGUUAUUAGAAUGACAUGUAACUUUAUUCAAACUCAACAAAAUUAUAGGUACAAUGCCAAAAUAUGAUACAAGAAAUUGCAAAAUAACUCAUAUAACUAGGAAUUACAACGAAACCCUCUUGAGUCAAAAUAUGAUAAACAGAGGAAAAAACAUUGUAGCUCAUAUAAUCCUUACUCUUUUCGAAUAUAGGGCGGUGCUAAACUCGGGAACCCCAUUCGUUUUGGAGCUCCGGCUCCAUGGAGCCUUUUUUGGAAAAGCAUACAUGCAUAACUAAAACACACGCAUGCAUGAGACUGGAGACUGAGGGGCAUGCAACAUCAAAAUAGGUUAGUUUGUCGGAGAGUUAUAAAGAUUUAAUAAUUUUGAGACGAUGCGCAUGAUAAAAUCCUCAUUGGUAUAUACAAUUUUGAAACUGUGCCGAGUAUACGGGGCCAGCGAGAGUGCUUGAGAAAACACGAGUCCGCGAAAACUCGGUCCACGAAAGCAUACCACGGAGCCUUAGGGCUUCCAACAGGUGGUGACGCUCACGCACGAGGUGCACGGUCCGGCCAGUUCCUUUCCAGAGACCUUUGCUUUCCAUUGUGAAUUGAACUGAAGCAUUUGCUUUGUACUACUUUGUAUUGCAUUGCACAAACGUGUACACUGUCUAUCUUAAUUUCUAAAUGAUGGCCGGUCACAUGUACGUGUGAGCACGGGAUUGACAAGGCAACUAACAGAAUUCUAUUACUACGAGGAGGCAACUAAUAGAGUAAAAAUAUUGCCACUCACCCUUAGCUACUAUCAUCACAGAGACACACACGCAAAUCCAGCUGUGCUAUUAACACCUCUAGCUACCUCCGUAGGUCGCUUCAUUUGCAAUCAACUAAUCAACCAAUAUAACUCCAUUGACAUGUUACCCAGUACUACUUGUCACUCCAGCUACCUAGCUGCAAUUCUAAUUAAUGCAGCUUCCAGAUCUGCUUUGUUUCACCGGGCCUAUAAAACUACACAAUCUGUAUCUCCAGCUCUCCACACAACACACACGCGCGCACACACAAAGCGCAGCAGGUUCAACACUAGCUACAAUCACAAGUAGGCAGCAAUGGCGAGGCAUCGCCUCCUCGCCGUGCUCCUCGUCGGCACAGUUGCAGCCUCCGCCUUCAACCAAGCUGCUGCGGCUGGCCGAGGCAUUGCUGUCGUCAGGAAGUUUGCAGAGCUAGAGCCAAAGCCAGAACCGAAACAAGAGCUAAUGCCCAAACCUAUGCCACCCCCAGAGCCAGAGCCCUGCAAACCUGAUCCGAUGCCCAAACCCAAACCAAAGCCCGAACAAAAACCCGGACAAAAGCCCGAACCAGAACCCAAGCCCAAGCCUAUGCCAAAACCAAAGCCCAAGCCCUGCUCCAAACCAAAGCCAGGUCCUAAGCCCGAGCCAAUGCCCAAACCCGAACCAAAGCCGGAGCCCAAGCCUAAACCUGAACCGAAACCGAAGCCGCCUCCGAAGUGCAAACCACCGACAACUCACAAUUGAUGGGAUACUGUAUAUGAGAGUUGAUGGAGGAGACCCCGUACGGAGCCACACUAUGCUAUUUCUAGAAUAAGUGGUGUAGUAUUCCCUGUAUUCCAUUUCUUUCUAUUUUUCCAUGCGCCCGUGAUGACUACUAGUACUCUGUAUUUGUUUUUGCUUGUUGGUAUACGUUCAUCUACUUUGUAUGUGACUCGACUCGUUCUUUUGAGUAUCUAUGCAUGAUUGUAUUCAUUCACAUGAAUUAGCUAUUUUGUUAGUGGACUGCAGUCCAUGUUGUUGUUUUCUAUGGGUUGCAAUCUCAGUUAUUNNNNNNNNNNNNNNNNNNNNNNNNNNNNNNNNNNNNNNNNNNNNNNNNNNNNNNNNNNNNNNNNNNNNNNNNNNNNNNNNNNNNNNNNNNNNNNNNNNNNNNNNNNNNNNNNNNNNNNNNNNNNNNNNNNNNNNNNNNNNNNNNNNNNNNNNNNNNNNNNNNNNNNNNNNNNNNNNNNNNNNNNNNNNNNNNNNNNNNNNNNNNNNNNNNNNNNNNNNNNNNNNNNNNNNNNNNNNNNNNNNNNNNNNNNNNNNNNNNNNNNNNNNNNNNNNNNNNNNNNNNNNNNNNNNNNNNNNNGUCAACAAAAACGAAGAGACGGACUCCCUAAAUUGCAGCACACAUAUGAAAUGUAUAUAGUAUGUGUGUACGUGUCUGGUGUUUUAUUGGAUAGCUUAGAUACAAUCUAUUGAAGUAGUUGUAUGAUAGCUUGUUGGUAGAUGACAUGGACAUUUUACCAACAAGACUAACAUACAAUCUAUUGAAGAUGCCCUUAGACUGCUCACAGUGAGGAGUAACAUAGAGUAGCAACUUACCGAUGUUACUAGUCUAUGUUACUACCUCCAUAGUGGGUAGUAACAUAUGAGUGGUAUCAUGAAAGAGUUCAUUUAUUAGGCUAUAGACUCAUUAUGCCUUGAAAUGUGUGAUGUUAUAGUAACUAUCUAAGUUACCACAAAUCCCUCUCUCUUUAUUAAUUAGCUGCCACAUAAGCAAUCUUGUAUUGAAAUGUGUGAUGUUACUAGUUAAGUUACUCCCAUUGUGACUAGUCUUAGGUACUCCCUCCGUCCGGGUGUACAAGUCAUUCGCGUAGUUCUAGGUCAUCGAUUUGAGGAAUUAAAUAUGUGUUAUAUGUCAUGAAAAGUAUACCACUAGAUUUCCACACGGAUGUAGUUUCUAAAUAUAUAUUUUUUGUCACAUAUAAUACAUAUUUAGAUAGUUAAAUUAUCGACCUAGAACUACGCGAAUGACUUAUACACCGGGACGGAGGUAGUAGUAACUUAACACAUUCCUAGAUAAUUUUGCCUAUGUGGCACGUAUUUAAUGAUGAAAGAGGUGCUUGUAGUAACAUAAUAUGUUGCCGUAACAUAGCGCUUUCUGAGGCAACAUGAGUCUGUGAGCUAAUAAAUGAAGCCAUCUAUGACACUACUACUAUGUUACUUUGCAAUAUGGAGGUAGUAACUUAGACUAGUGUCAUAUGCAUGACACUAGUAUAAGUUACUCCCCACUAUGACCAGCCAUACUAGGUAAACGUCACAUACAUUGCUACGGAAAUUUAUAGCAAUGAAAUUAUAAAAAAUACCAUAUAUGUGAAUAAUACCACACAACAUUCUCAACAUAUGACAAUAUAAAACCUAGAUGUAACUGGAGGGUGGAUGCAUGUUAUAUUGUCUUGUGACCUUCAAGUUUAACUAUUUGUUGUUGAAAGAUAAUAAAUAGUAAAAAAUAAUGAGGUGAAGAGCUUGCGUGUGUCUGAUUAUGUGGAGGGCUUGCAUAUGAUGGAAAGUGAAAAAUCGAAUGAUUACAUGCACCCUUAAUGAUGUGGAAGACUUGCAUGUGAUGAAAAAUGGUAAGUGAAAGUUGAUUGGUCGCAUGUCCUUCAUGAUGUGGUUAAUUUGCAUGUGCAUUUAAAUGGGAUGGCUUAAUUAGAUAUAUAGGAUAUGUGUGUGAAAGGUAACUGCACCCCCUGGUCAAAUUAGUGGCGGAGCUACCCAAAAAUUGCAACACAUUUCUCUCUCUCAAGGCUGGGCCGGCUAUGGCCUAUCUGGCCUUGCUGUAGCUCCAACAAUGAUCAAGACUAUCAAGAAAAGGUACCAUGAAAAUUAUAAUAACAGAUUUUCUCUGACUCAAUUUACAAUAGGAAAAAUCUCUCAUUGAUAGUGCUGCGCAACAUACGAGAGACCACAAUAAUCUCUCACCCAUCCCAUGGUGCUGGCAAGGUCAACAUUUCAAGAUGGUAUGUUGGCUCAGUCUUUCAGACGUGCUCAUAGGGGUAGGGUGUGCGUGUGUGCGUUCAUAGGGGUGAGUGUAUGCGCGCGUAUAUGAGCGCUUGUGUUUGUACUGUGUUCAAAAAUAAUAAUUUUGAGAGCCCUAGUGUGAAAUUGGCAAAUUGAUAGUCUUGUUUUUUCUUUUAUUGCGCAUGAAAACUCCUUUUAAGCAACAUUAUAGUAACCCUAAAACUGACAAGGAAAGUAAAUAAAGUACAUAAGUAGAAUUUUAGAAAUCAGAGCACUAACAUUUAACAUGCUUGGAUGAACGGGUGACUUUCGUAAUAUGGCUAUGGGUACGAGGAAUGAAAGGCCUAGAGAGUGACAAGCUCAUGCUUCACUAUCACAGACGUCUGAGGAGGCGGCGAGACGCUCAUGUCGUCAAGCUACGAGACAAACCUGUGAAGAUGAAGAUCACGAAUUACAAUUAGGAGAACUGGUGAUGCCAUGUGUCUGUGUCGCACACCGAUUAUGAUUCUUUUCCUUUUUAUGGACCAGUUCAACCAACGGCUAAAGGCCUAAAGCUCGCUUCUUGGAGAACGUGUAUACCUCAAUUUUAGGAGAGCUUCUUCUCAGUGCUCAUUAGUGCUGCAGCGCACAAGAGCUCGCGCGCAUGGGUCAUUGCAUUAAAAGGCAAAGCGGUUGCUCGAUUGGCCACCCACUACACUCUUUUUUUGCAAGCCUUUUUUUUUCUGGGAUUGCUCUGUUAUUCAAUGAAAAAUAUCCCACCGGUUUUCUAAAUUUAAAAAUUCAUGAAUAUGAAAAUUUUCAAAAAUUUGAAAAACAAUUACAGUUUGAAGAGAAUGAAUUGAAAAACGUUGACAGUUUUGAAAAAAUCACAAAUUCAUUUUUUGUGAAUUUGAAAAAGGUGAUUCAAAAAAGUUUAUGAAAUUUGAAAAAAAUUCUCAUGAAUAUGAAAAAAUGGUCACAAAUUUGAAAAGAAAUGUUAGAGAAGUUUAAAUUUAAAAUAAUCAGAAAAAGAGGAAAAAGGCAGAAGAGUAAAAAAGAAAAAACAGGACGAAAGUUUCCAUAACCAAAGUUGGCCCAUAAGCUUCUGGAAGCUUCCUAAAACCGACAGGAGGGAGCUUCCGCUCAUGUAAAUGUCAUAGAUUGGGCAGCCCUUUUACAAUCUAGUGAAUCAAGAGGUGCGUGCGCUUUCUAUCAAUAACUUGGAAACCAAUGGUAAAUAGCAUAUUUCCACUUUUAGCGUUCCGUGGAACGGAAUUCGACCACAGAUCCACAGUAUGGGCUAAUCCCAACAUGUUUUUCUAACAAGCUAGUUUUUUCUAUUGGGGCAGAUGUCUCACUCUAACGAGUAGGAUUUUUUUUGUUCUUAUUUUCACAUUUUUCUUUUUAUUUUUUCUAAUUCUCUAGAAAACGCUCUAUAACAUAUAUGGGUGAUCAUAUAAUUUAAUAAGUGUUCAUGUACUUUAAAAAUGUUCAUCACCUAUUUAUAAAACGUUUUCAAAAUAUGGAACGUUUUUAAAAUACAAAUACAAUUACAAAAAGUGUUCAUAUUUUCUGAAAAUAUACACUAUGAACAUUUUGAACAAUACGGAUGAAAAUUUAUUUUAAUACAUGAUGAACCUUUGAUAUCACAAUAUUUUCUAAAAAUACACAAUGAUUUUUAUAUACACAAUAAAUAUGUUGUUCAUACACGAUGAACAUUUUGUAAAAACAUGAGUGAACAUUGCCCAGCUCAGAUGAGGAAGGGGCGAUGAUUGUAGUACGUCUUCGGCUUGCUCGAGUGAUUGUAGACAUCGCUAGGUGGUCUAUGGACCUGAACAUAAGUUCUAUUACCUCUGGUGUUCUUGUAUUGACAUGAUGGUUGAUAAGUAGAUCGGAUUUUUUCAAUAUUUUUUUAAGAAAAAUGUUCAACUUGUCUUACAAAUUGUUCCGAAGAUUAAGAAAAAUAUAUUCGCAUUUUCUAAAAAGAACAUUGCAUUUCAAUUUUUUCACAUGCUUAGAAAAUUGUUCAUGGCAAUAUUAAAAUAUUUGUGAAAUAUAAAAAUGUGUUAUUACAGUUUUGGAAAAAUGUUUGUGGUAUAUAAAUUUUUUUCAUCAUGUAUUUAUAAAACAAUCAAACUUGUAUUAAAAAAAUAUUCUAUGUGUAUUUUAUUUUUUUUAUUUUUUUUAAUAAUUUCAAUAUGUAUUUGAAAAAUAGAAAAAUGAAAAACAAUACAUGAGACAAUGAACAGGAAAAGUAAAAGAGAAACCAAAAAUGAAAAACCUAAAUAAACCCAAGAAAGAAAACCCUGACAAAAUGUUAUGAGAUCACAAGAAACAAACAAAUGCUACACACCUGCACCACUACUGGGCCACAGCCCACACCGCAUCGCCAGAGGUGAGCGCCAUAGCAUUUGCGCAAAAUGACCGCACGAGACAUAGCAUUUGCGCAAAAUGACCGCACAAAUUGAACAAACUGUCGGCCAGCUAGUUAUUAGAAAGACAUGUAACUUAAUUCAAACUCAACAAAAUUAUAGGUACAAUGCUUUGGAUCAUAGAUACAAGAAAUUAGAAAAUAGCUCAUAUAAGUAAGAAUUACAAUGAAACCCUCUUGAGUCAAAAUAUGUUAAACAGAGGAAAAAAACAUUAGCACAUAUAAUCUUUACUCUAUCCGAAUAUAUGGCGGAGCUAAACUCAGCAACCCCAUUAGUUUUGGAGGUCCGGUUUCAUGGAGCCUCUUUUUUUUUGGAAAAUCAUGCAUUAAUAACUACUAGUAAAUGGCACGUGCCAUGCACGUGUAGAGAUAGUUAUUAACACACAUACAUGUGGGUAAUUUUAAGUAGUAUCAUACUCCCUCCGUCCCAAAAUAUAAGAACGUUUUUAACAGUAGCAUAGUGUCAACAACGUUCUUAUAUUCUGGGACAAAGGGAGUAUUUCACAAAAGAAGUUAAGUAGUAUCAUGAUUUGAACUAAUUAAUUAUUAAUUAUAAAACUUUGCAUGAUUUACUAAAUAUAUAUGUGUAAUACCGAAUUUACACAAUAUAGAAUACCAUAAGAAAAAGGAUACCAGGUUCGUCCUCAAAUUUGUCUUAAUAAAGUUUAAGUUUAACUUCAGUUCAAAACUGCGAUACUUACUAUGGCAGAGGAAAUAUUAGAUUGAGCAACGGAGAGAGUAUUGUUUGCAAGUUAUUUAUCGUUAGAAAUAAAAUAAUAAUUUAAACAUUAAUUCUGUCUGUUUUGCAGAUCAGAGUUUUUUCACAGAAUUAUUGAUAAAAACUAAGAAAACAAGGGUAAUAAAUAUUUGUAAAAUAAAUUUAUAAGAGAAAGUAAAAGCUAUUUAAAUGUACAUAUAUUACAUUUUCACCGUUUGCCACUUUUUUUAAUCUGUUUUAGCUUGUGCGCCUUUACCCAGGCUACACCAUCACAUGCUUUCUCUCUCUCUCUCUCGUCAUGAUGCGUACUUGCUAGUUGCUACUGCUAGUACUUCUCGUGCCACUCUACUCUACACCUGCAUGCAUCACCGGAGUCUGCUGGAAAUGGAAAUUUCUGGAUAGUGGCUUGGCUACAAAGAACGCAAGGAGAGUCACAUGCACAUCCUAGAAAGUACUACUACAUCUGAGAGUGGCAGACUGGCAGCACAGAGAAAUGGCCCAGCGAAUCCCUGCAAUGUAGGCCAUUAGAUUGACAUAUCCAGCGGUUCAUAUGCAGCCACGUAUACCGGUAACACAAGCCAUUUAAUUUGAGCCGUCCAAUUAGGAAGAUCCAACGGUUCAUAUGACUUGCUACUCCUAUACUAUAUAGGAGUAUAGAAAACACACGCGUGCAUGAGACUGGAGAAUGAGGGGCAUGCAACAUCAAAAUAGGUUACUUUGUCGGAAGUUAUAAGAUUUAAUAAUUUGAGACAAUACGCAUAAUAAAAUCCUCACUAGUGCAGUGUCAAAAAUGCUCUUAUAUUGUGGGAUGGAGGAGUACAAUUUUGAAAUUGUGCCCAGUAUACCGGGCCAGAGGGAGAGCUUGAGAAAACACUGAGUCAGCGAAAACUCGGUGUACGAAGCAGACCAUGGAGCCUUGGGGCUUCCUAACAGGUGGUGAAGCUCACGCACGAGGUGGCUGCACGACUGGGCCAGUUCCUUUCCGGAGACCUUUCCUUUCCAUUCAUUGUGAAUUGAACUGAAGCGAUUGCUUUUUACAAACGUGUACACUGUCUAUCUUAAUUUCUAAAUGAUGGCCGGUCACAUGGACGUGUGAGCACGGGAUUGACAGGGAAACUAACAGAAUUCUACUACUACGAGGAGGCAACUGAUAAAGUAAAAAUAUUGCUACUCACCCUACUAUCAUCAGAUGGAGACACACAAACAUAAUCCACUGGACAAGGCAACUAACAUAAUUUCUAUUACCACGAGGUUGCAACUAAUAGAGUAAAAAUAUUGUUACUCACACGUACUAUCAUCACAGAGACACACACGCAGAAUCCAGCUGUGCUUAUUAACACCUCUAGCUACCUACGUACGUAGGUUGCUUCAUUUCUAAUCAACUAAUCAACCAAUAUAACUCCACUGCCAUGUUAUACAGUACUACAGUACUUGUCACUCCAGCUAGGUAACUGCAAUGCUAAUUAAUGCAGCCUCCAGAUCUGCUUUGUUUCACCCAGCCUAUAAAACCACACAAUAUGUACCUCCAGUUCUCACACAACACACACACACACAAAACACUAGCUGCAAGCACAAGAAGUAGGCAGCAAUGGCGAAGCAUCGCCUCCUCGCCGUGCUCCUCAUCGGGAUAGUUGCAGCCUCCUCUUUCAACCAAGCAGCUGCGGCUAGCCGAGGCCUUGUUGUCGUUGGGAAGUUCACAGAGCUAGAGCCAAAGCCGGAACCCAAACCAGAGCCAAUGCCCAAACCUAUGCCCCACCCAGAGUCAGAGCCCUGCAAACCUGAACCGAUGCCCAAACCCGAACCAAAGCCUGGACAGAAGCCUGAACCAGAACCCAAGCCCAAGCCGAUGCCAAAACCAAAGCCCAAGCCCUGCUCCAAAUCGAAGCCUGAGCCGAUGCCAAAACCGGAACCAAAGCCGGAGCCCAAGGCUAAACCUGAACCGAAACCGAAGCCGCCUCCAAAGUGCAAACCACUGGCAACGCACAAUUGAUGGGAUACUUAUAUAUGACACUUGAUGGAGGAGAACCCGUACGGAGCCACACUAUGCUAUUUUUAGAAUAAGUAAUGCAUUAUUCCCUGUAUUCAAUUUCUUUCUAUUGUUUCAUGCACGCGUGAUGAGUAUUAGUACUCUGUAAUUAUUAUUUGCUUGUUGGUAUAUGUUCAUCUACUUUGUAUAUGACCUGACUCAUAGUUCUUUUGAGUAUCAAUGCAUGAUUGUGUUCAUUCGCAUGAAUGAACUAUUUUGUCCAGUGGACUGCUGUCUAUGUUGUUUUCUCUGUG
This 12267-nucleotide long non-coding RNA is filed under the name Triticum aestivum (bread wheat). RNAcentral describes it as "long non-coding RNA (TAES_LNC006096)". Lineage: Eukaryota; Viridiplantae; Streptophyta; Magnoliopsida; Poales; Poaceae. The record is from RNAcentral.